RNAcentral lists this ribosomal RNA (467 nucleotides) under uncultured bacterium. Its description in RNAcentral is "partial 16S ribosomal RNA". It matches the Rfam family "Bacterial small subunit ribosomal RNA", at positions 29 to 507 of the family's 1533-position model. The record is from RNAcentral.
ACGAACGCUGGCGGCGUGCUUAACACAUGCCAGUCGAACGGAAAGGCCCUGCUUUUGUGGGGUGCUCGAGUGGCGAACGGGUGAGUAACACGUGAGUAACCUGCCCUUGACUUUGGGAUAACUUCAGGAAACUGGGGCUAAUACCGGAUAGGAGCUCCUGCUGCAUGGGGGGGGUUGGAAAGUUUCGGCGGUUGGGGAUGGACUCGCGGCUUAUCAGCUUGUUGGUGGGGUAGUGGCUUACCAAGGCUUUGACGGGUAGCCGGCCUGAGAGGGUGACCGGCCACAUUGGGACUGAGAUACGGCCCAGACUCCUACGGGAGGCAGCAGUGGGGAAUAUUGCACAAUGGGCGGAAGCCUGAUGCAGCAACGCCGCGUGCGGGAUGACGGCCUUCGGGUUGUAAACCGCUUUCGCCUGUGACGAAGCGUGAGUGACGGUAAUGGGUAAAGAAGCACCGGCUAACUACGUG